Molecule: non-coding RNA, 72 nt
Organism: Capsicum annuum
Lineage: Eukaryota; Viridiplantae; Streptophyta; Magnoliopsida; Solanales; Solanaceae
Source: Rfam
GGUGACAUGGCCGAGUGGUAAGACAAAGGACUGCAAAUCCUUUUUUCCCCAGUUCAAAUCCGGGUGUCGUCU